UACGUAGGGUGCGAGGGUUAAUCGGAAUUACUGGGCGUAAAGCGUGCGCAGGCGGCUUUGCAAGACAGAUGUGAAAUCCCCGGGCUCAACCUGGGAACUGCAUUUGUGACUGCAAGGCUAGAGUACGGCAGAGGGGGAUGGAAUUCCGCGUGUAGCAGUGAAAUGCGUAGAUAUGCGGAGGAACACCAAUGGCGAAGGCAAUCCCCUGGGCGUGUACUGACGAUCAUGCACGAAAGCGUGGGGAGCAAACAGG
This 253-nucleotide ribosomal RNA is filed under the name uncultured bacterium. RNAcentral's name for it is "partial 16S ribosomal RNA". It matches the Rfam family "Bacterial small subunit ribosomal RNA", at positions 524 to 776 of the family's 1533-position model. The record is from RNAcentral.